GAGUGAAGAGGGACAAGCUCAAAUUUUAAAUCUAUCGGGUUUUACCCGAUCGAGUUGUAAUUUGAAGAAGCGUUUUCUGCGUUUUUGGUCAGCCCAAGUCCUAUUGAAUGAGGCAUCAUGGAGGGUGAUAAUCCCGUCCGGUUGAUCAUUUGCGUUUUACGAUACGCAUUCUAAGAGUCAAGUUGUUUGGGAUUGCAGCUUAAAAUGGGAGGUAAAUUUCUCUUAAGGCUAAAUAACGGCGAGAGACCGAUAGCGAACAAGUACCGUGAGGGAAAGAUGAAAAGAACUUUGAAAAGAGAGUUAAAUAGUACGUGAAAUUGUUGAAAGGGAAACGAUUGAAGCCAGUCGUACCUGCGGGUAAUCAGCCUUUUGGGCAUGAUUCUGUGGAGCGUGAGGAGUUAAACGCCUUCAUGCCUGCAUAUUCGUGUACUUGGGGUGUACUUGCCUGUGUGGUUAGUUAACAUCAAUUUUGGUUAUCAUAAAAUGGUUGGAGGAAUGUAGCUUCGAUUUUGAUUGAAGUGUUAUAGCCUUCGGCAGAUGUGAUGAUCGGGAUUGAGGAUUGCAACGGAUACCCUUCGGGGCUACCUGUCCGGUCUCUGAUCGUUGCUCUGGUGCCGAAAGCUUGCUUACGGUUAUCAAAGUCGAUGGUCAAUAGGUUAGAUCGGGUUAAAUUCGUUA
RNAcentral lists this ribosomal RNA (678 nucleotides) under uncultured Glomeromycotina. RNAcentral's name for it is "eukaryotic LSU rRNA". It matches the Rfam family "Eukaryotic large subunit ribosomal RNA", at positions 91 to 616 of the family's 3401-position model. Lineage: Eukaryota; Fungi; Glomeromycota. The record is from RNAcentral.